GUGAAUCAUCGAAUCUUUGAACGCAAAUUGCACUCUCUUCGGAGAGUAUGCCUGUUUGAGGGUCAGCCUAAAAAAAAACCGACAUCGUUGUUGUUUCGCGGUGGCGUUCGUCGGAAAUUGGGCUAUUUUAAAUCUUUGGUUUAAGCGACUUAAAAUUUUCUCUACUAUUUUAUGUACGUUUUCAAGAUUUAUUUCUUUAUACGUUUAAGGUAUCGUUUUUUUUAGGUGUGGUUGUCAUUUCGG
This 243-nucleotide unclassified non-coding RNA is filed under the name Glomeraceae sp. RNAcentral's name for it is "partial contains 5.8S ribosomal RNA and internal transcribed spacer 2". The stretch from base 1 to 65 matches the Rfam family "5.8S ribosomal RNA", at positions 84 to 154 of the family's 154-position model. The record is from RNAcentral. Lineage: Eukaryota; Fungi; Glomeromycota; Glomeromycetes; Glomerales; Glomeraceae.